Molecule: ribosomal RNA, 459 nt
Filed under: uncultured bacterium
Lineage: Bacteria
Description: partial 16S ribosomal RNA
Rfam family: Bacterial small subunit ribosomal RNA
Source: RNAcentral
CCUACGGGAGGCUGCAGUGAGGAAUAUUGGUCAAUGGUCGGGAGACUGAACCAGCCAAGCCGCGUGAGGGAUGAAGGUACAGAGUAUCGUAAACCUCUUUUGUCAGGGAACAAAGGCGGGGACGCGUCCCCGGAUGAGUGUACCUGAAGAAAAAGCAUCGGCUAACUCCGUGCCAGCAGCCGCGGUAAUAGGGAGGAUGUGAGCGUUAUCCGGAUUUAUUGGGUUUAAAGGGUGGGCAGGCGGUCUGUUAAGUCAGCGGUCAAAGCACGGGGCUCAACCCCGGCCCGCCGUUGAAACUGGCAGUCUCGAGUUGGAGAGAAGUAUGCGGAAUGCGCGGUGUAGCGGUGAAAUGCAUAGAUAUUACACAGAACACCGAUUGCGAAGGCAGCUUGCUAGGCCGGAUCUGACACUGAUGCACGAAAGCGUGGGGAUCGAACAGGAUUAGAUACCCUAGUAGUC